RNAcentral lists this unclassified non-coding RNA (277 nucleotides) under Hevea brasiliensis (rubber tree). Lineage: Eukaryota; Viridiplantae; Streptophyta; Magnoliopsida; Malpighiales; Euphorbiaceae. The record is from RNAcentral.
UCAUAAAUGCUUUUAUGUAACUCAUGGCUACUGCUCUAUUGAGAAGCCCUUGACCACUUUGAUAAUAACUCUUGCAUUUUCUUUAAGUUAUCAAAAGUUCCAAGAGAACUCGAUGUGUAUGUUGGUGGUUAAUAUAGUCAUUAGUGUUGCUGAUAUUUUCCACAGUUUAUAUUACCGAACCUGUUAAUUAAUUAGUCUUUUAGAUUGGUUAACAAAUUUAAUUGGUUUGAGGGUCAAAUAUAACUAAAAAAUUUUAAUUAAUAUAUAAAUGGCUUAG